This is a non-coding RNA of Donghicola sp. JL3646, 354 nucleotides long. NCBI's taxonomy places the organism in Bacteria, Pseudomonadati, Pseudomonadota, Alphaproteobacteria, Rhodobacterales, Roseobacteraceae. The record is from Rfam.
CUACUUGAGUUCGCCAAAGUCAGAACCUAUAUUCAAAGUGUCUCUUCGGGGACUAUGGACAUAAACGCGCUCGUAAUAAGCGGAUCGGACCCGGGGGCGGUACCCGGCGACUCCACCAAACAUCCUUCAUUUGGGGAUCAUGGGGUCGAAAUAGGAUCGACGAACGUCUAAAGGGGUUAUGCUUUGUCUCGGUGAGAUACCACCGUUAUCGGUUCAAACUGUACAAUUGCAAAUGACAAUCGUGCUCCGGCAAUGGCUCUGGCUGCGUAAGCAGUUCGGGUCGCCGAAAUUAAGUCCUGACGCUUAGCAGCCUCAGGCGGGGUUCGGAGGUACCUGGCAACAGAAACCUCCACU